GAUGAACGCUGGCGGCGUGCCUAAUACAUGCAAGUCGAGCGAACGGACGAGAAGCUUGCUUCUCUGAUGUUAGCGGCGGACGGGUGAGUAACACGUGGAUAACCUACCUAUAAGACUGGGAUAACUUCGGGAAACCGGAGCUAAUACCGGAUAAUAUUUUGAACCGCAUGGUUCAAAAGUGAAAGACGGUCUUGCUGUCACUUAUAGAUGGAUCCGCGCUGCAUUAGCUAGUUGGUAAGGUAACGGCUUACCAAGGCAACGAUGCAUAGCCGACCUGAGAGGGUGAUCGGCCACACUGGAACUGAGACACGGUCCAGACUCCUACGGGAGGCAGCAGUAGGGAAUCUUCCGCAAAGGGCGAAAGCCUGACGGAGCAACACCGCGUGAGUGAUGAAGGUCUUCGGAUCGUAAAACUCUGUUAUUAGGGAAGAACAUAUGUGUAAGUAACUGUGCACAUCUUGACGGUACCUAAUCAGAAAGCCACGGCUAACUACGUG
This 497-nucleotide ribosomal RNA is filed under the name uncultured bacterium. Its description in RNAcentral is "partial 16S ribosomal RNA". It matches the Rfam family "Bacterial small subunit ribosomal RNA", at positions 28 to 507 of the family's 1533-position model. The record is from RNAcentral.